Molecule: ribosomal RNA, 253 nt
Filed under: uncultured bacterium
Lineage: Bacteria
Description: partial 16S ribosomal RNA
Rfam family: Bacterial small subunit ribosomal RNA
Source: RNAcentral
UACGUAGGGCGCAAGCGUUGUCCGGAAUUAUUGGGCGUAAAGAGCGUGUAGGCGGCUAUACAGGUCCGCUGUGAAAACUCGAGGCUCAACCUCGAGACGUCGGUGGAAACCGUAUGGCUAGAGUCCGGAAGAGGAGAGUGGAAUUCCUGGUGUAGCGGUGAAAUGCGCAGAUAUCAGGAAGAACACCCGUGGCGAAGGCGGCUCUCUGGGACGGUACUGACGCUGAGACGCGAAAGCGUGGGGAGCGAACAGG